Molecule: ribosomal RNA, 497 nt
Filed under: uncultured bacterium
Lineage: Bacteria
Description: partial 16S ribosomal RNA
Rfam family: Bacterial small subunit ribosomal RNA
Source: RNAcentral
GAUGAACGCUGGCGGCGUGCCUAAUACAUGCAAGUCGAGCGAACAGACGAGGAGCUUGCUCCUCUGACGUUAGCGGCGGACGGGUGAGUAACACGUGGAUAACCUACCUAUAAGACUGGGAUAACUUCGGGAAACCGGAGCUAAUACCGUAUAAUAUAUUGCACCGCAUGGUGCAUUAGUGAAAGACGGUUUUGCUGUCACUUAUAGCUGGAUCCGGGCGGCAUUAGCUAGUUGGUAAGCUAAAGGCUUACCAAGGCAACGAUGCGUAGACGACCUGAGAGGGGGAUCGCCCACACUGGAAUUUAACCACGCACAAGAUUCCUAAGGGACGCACCAGUAGGGAAUGUGCGGCAAUGGUGGAAAGUCUGGCGGAACAACCUCGCGUGGGUGAGAAAGGUCUUAGGAUCGUGAAGCCCUGUUAUUAGGGAAGAACAAUUGUGUCCUUACCUAUGCACGUAUUGACGGUACCGAAUGAGAAAGCAACGGCUAACUACGUG